UACAAUGUAUUUUGGAGAGGUAAGAAACCCAAUUACUGUUUAUGUAUAUAUUAUUGCUGCUUUUUAGGUAUUGCUAGAAUUACCCAUUCAGAUUUUUCAGUCAGGGAAGGAACGAUUUACGCUGCUGCAAUUCCUAAUCUCAAGUUCUUCUCAAUCUUAUCCAGGGAUCCAGUUAAUUUUAAGAUUCUUUAUUGGGCUUAUGAGAAAUACUGCCAAUUUAGUUAAUUAAACAAGUUGUCGGUA
Molecule: long non-coding RNA, 243 nt
Organism: Erythranthe guttata (spotted monkey flower)
Lineage: Eukaryota; Viridiplantae; Streptophyta; Magnoliopsida; Lamiales; Phrymaceae
Source: RefSeq, a predicted model, not a curated record